RNAcentral lists this long non-coding RNA (3651 nucleotides) under Equus caballus (horse). RNAcentral's name for it is "lncRNA (ENSECAG00000048270.1)". The record is from RNAcentral. Lineage: Eukaryota; Metazoa; Chordata; Mammalia; Perissodactyla; Equidae.
CCCAAGGCUCGCGAACAGCAGGUUCCACUUGUUGCAGCGUCGCCGGCUUCUAGGAACCUGAGGCAGGGCGGGGGAAACACUUAACCGCACGCACUCGGCAGGGGCAGAAGUGGGCCGUCUCUCGUCGCCACGCCCGGUUGCUGCUGAGAUCGCAGAGCACCCUCUGCGUCCGGAGCCAGCGCCUCCCUCCCAGCCCUGUCCGCUCCCCCUCCCCUGCUCCCCUGCCCGUACCCCCUACCCCAGUCCCGUGGCGCCCUCCCCCAGCCCGACCGCGAGCCACCCCUCCCCCUGGCCGAGGCCUGUGGCCGCUGGAAUCCCUGUCGCCCCGGGACUCAGCUGACAGCGGACAGACAAUGACUGCCAGCAACAGGGAGCGGGUUGCCCUUGCUCCUACUGUGUCCCCAUGUCUCAGCACGGGGCUGUCACACAGAAGGCGCUCAAUGAAUACAGGCCGAGUGAAUGAAUGAACCGACGAAGACCCAGGUGCUGUGCAAAGACCGGUGAUUCUGGGGAGGAUGGACUGUGUCCUGAGCUCCUAAGAUUUCGCAGAGGAGCAGUGACAGGGUCUGAAUUUCGGCAGGAAGGCCGCUCUGGAUCCAGGAAAUGGGUUUGUGACGGCGAGGUGGCCACUCCGUUUCUUUCCCAUAUCUCAGCCUCCUAGAUCAGGAGCCAGAAGAGAUGUUGGAGACCAUUAAGAAGAGAGCAGAAAGCUGAAGUUCAAAAGAGAAAAUGAUUUUCCAGGGUCAUACACUGGGAGAGGGGCCAGGGCCCACUGGGGCUCUGCCUAACUCUGCUCUGUGCUGUCUCUGGGGUGCGUAGCUGAGGCCUCACUCAGCACCCAGCUGGCUGUGUGAGGAAGCGGUGGGGAGAGAGUGUCACACUCCAUCGUGACCAGGUCAGAAAGCCCACACGUCUACACAUUGCCUGGGCCCCGGAUGGGUGGGCAGCACUCUCCUGUUUCUCAGAGGGAACGUAGAGAGGGGAUGUAAGCACCUUACCACAACAGAGCACUGUUCACACAGAGACGCAGGCCUCCCAAUUCACCCCAGAUACCCAAGGCCAGAGGAGGCGCUGGUACCAAGGGGGCUACUGUCUAAGCUUCAGUCAAGGAGGAAUGGAGCAGAGCACCUCCAGGCCUGCUCCAGGGACUGAGGGGGCACAGGCAGGAACUGGACCAUCCCUGAAGCCACUUUCAGGAAAGAGAGGAAAAGGUCCUUUAACCGAGGGCCCACUUUGUACCAGCCACUUAACCUGCAGCAGCUCGACUCUCUUAGCAAAUGCCCAUGGAGGGAGCUAGAUUUCUAAUAACCCACCCUCACAGCCCCCAUUUCUACUGCUGAGGAAGGGGGCAUGCAGGAUGGUUAGGGAUUUGCUAGAGAAAAUGGGACUCGCCCUGGGCCUGAGCUCAGGUCUGCUCCCCAGUCAAGGCCCCGCGAGUCUGGCAGCUUCUGGUCAGUCUUUCUUAGCGUCUUAGUGAGGCCUUUCCCCCCCUGCUUGCACGUCCGUCCUCCGUGCUUCCUCACCGUCUUCCUCAUCCUUCCUCGUCCCUCCGCGCUCCUCCCUGGCUCCGCGGGUCUGCUGCCGGUGGCCGGCCUCCCCUUUAUCUUGUCUCCCCGCUUCCACCGCUAUCAGCCAUUAUCUGGCGCAAUCCUGCCCUGGCAAGGCAGGGCAGGAAGCCGGCCUGUGACUCUCCUCUCUUUACUCUCCAUCCUCUUCCUUCUCCAGAGACAAAAGCAAAAACAGCCUGUUAACAGAUCUGCCAUUUCCCUUGGCUCCUUGACUCCCAUUUCCCACUCUCAUUUUUUCACAGGCUCCACUUUUCCACCUCGGGCUGUCCUCAGGAGCUGCUGCGCCCCGAGGCCUGAAGUCCCAGGGCUGUCACUUCCUCUGGGCUUGUCUGCCAGGAGGCCUGAGCUCACAGCCAAGGCUGUCCCCUCCACAAAGCCUCUGGCUCCCUCUUAUCCUCGUUGCGAUCAGCCCGGCCUGAAAUGGUCGUCUGGCUGUCUGCGCCAGGGAUGGGGCGGGACAGUGCUCUGGCCUUCCUCAUUAACGGGGUGGCUGUGGCUCUGAUUAUAGCCGUGGGAGGGUUUUUUUUGGUCAAAGAGCAUCGUGCAUCCAUUUAUUAUGUCACCAUUCACCCAGACGUUUACCGCGUCUUUCUACGCUGCUGCUGGAGACCCAGAGAUGAGCAAAACACAACCUCUGUCCUCAAUAAUGUGUAAUUUGUGGGGAGUCAGGAGGUCGCUGGACUGAGUUAAAGUACUCUAUCUAAUGUGUGGUAGAAAUUGCUAAGUGCAAAAAGAGGGAUGAACACCAAGUGCUCUGAGAGUUCAGAGGAGGGAGAGAUGGAUGCUAACAAGGGGAGCUGAUGCUCAUCAGCGCGUUCUCCGGCCAGGCACUCUGCUGAGCGCCUGCUGUAGUUGUCUCAUUUCGUCCUCAUGGCGAACUCAUGGGGCAGGUGUGGUUUUCAGCCCCAAUUCACAGAUGAAGAGACUGAGGCUUCGGGAAGUGCAGCAAUGGCUAGUGAGUGCUAUACCCGGGUUCAUACACAGAGCCCCAUUUUCCUUGAAGGUCUGAUUCAAAUACCACCUUCAUAUCAUCUUCAUCCCAGCCUGUCAGGCCCCUUGGUCUGUAGAGCCUGUUGGGGCGAGAGUGAGCUCUGGAGAAAUCUCUCGCUCAGGAUGCUUAAUUGCACUGAGUCUUAAUUUUUCUCAUCUGCAAGAGGGGGUGAUAACAGUACCCAUCUCCUAGGUUUGUUGAGGGUUUUAAAGGAACAGUGUAUAUGGUGUGCUUAGCACGGCCACUGGCACAGAGUAUAUACUGAUACAUAUUCAGCACUGCGACUGGCACAGAGUGUAUACUGAUACAUAUUAGCCGUGAUGAUUUCAUAAUUAUUAUUUCUACAACAGGAAAGUUAUGAGGAGGAUAACUUUGUAGGAAGGUGGUUUGGGAAGCAGAUUGUCAGGGUUGAUAUAAAUUUUGUAUCUGUUUUCCAAGGACCGAGCAACACUUGCCCCGGGCAUCCCCAUCUCAGGCUGCGAGGGUGUGGACAGGACACAGCCCUGGAGUUCGCGUUCCCAUUUUUCUCUCAGGUUUUCCUAGGUCUCCCCAAUGCUCAAACGAUCUGUUAAUUUCAAAGUCAUCUGGGUCCUUAAGAAGGCUGAGUCCCUUCUCUUGUGAUUAUUGAGCUUCAUUUUUUUCUUUUUUUUUAAUUGUGGUAAAAUAUAGAUAAUGUAAGAUUUACCGUUUUAAUCAUUUUUAAGUGUGCAGUUCAGUGGCGUUAAGUGCAUUCGCAUCACCGUUGUUCAUCUCUGGAACGUUUUCAUCGUCAACUGAAACUCCACCCGUUUAAGACUAACUCCCCAUUCCCUCCUCCCUCAGCCCCUGGCAACCACCAUUCUCCUUUCUGUCUCUAUGAAUUUGACAACUCUAAGUACCUCAUAUAAGUGGAAUCAUACAGUAGCUGUCCUUUUGUGACUGGCUUAUUUUGUUUAGCGUGAUGUCCUCAGGGUUCACCCAUGUUGUAGCAUGUGUCAGAAUUUCCUUCUUUUUAAGGCUGAAUAAUAUUCCAUCGUAUGUAAACACCACAUUUUGUUUAUACAUCCAUCCACCAAUGGACAUGGGGAUUGUUUCCACUUUUUGGCUUUUGUG